CAGUUAAUGUGUGUAUAUUAUUAUUUUAAUACAGUAUAAUAGGUGAUGCUGGUUUUUGUACCAGUAAGUCAUUACAGCUGCUAGGAUGGAAUGGGUGUGGUCUAUCUUUUAUCAUGUGACAGGAAACAAAAAUCAAUUGGUGAAGGUCACUGUAGUACUUAUAAACUGAUUCAACCACAUGCAGUUAAGUGUGGACACAAUUGAGCUGGUUUCUGAACCAUUUUAAGUUGAACUGGCUUGUAUGUAUAGAUGUGACUUAAUUUUUGUGAUUUUUUGGUAAAUUUCAAAUAUGCAGUUUUUGUGAUUUUUGAUAUUGUA
This is a long non-coding RNA of Amphimedon queenslandica, 318 nucleotides long. RefSeq lists it as uncharacterized. The record is from RefSeq and is a predicted model, not a curated record. The transcript has 3 exons. NCBI's taxonomy places the organism in Eukaryota, Metazoa, Porifera, Demospongiae, Haplosclerida, Niphatidae.